GCUAUUUGGAAAUAGAGAUGAUCGUAUUCCAGAAAUUCCAAUAGCAUUUUAGCUCUGUUGUCCAGGUAUAAGCAGACAUGGGCUAAGUAUAGAGUAAACUACCAUAAGGAAAAAUGAUGUCCAAAUGAACUUUCAUGUUAAGCCCAAUUGUGUGAAACUUUCCAGCUCCUGGCUUCCUUUUGAAGUCUGGGCCUCAAGCAAAGGCCCAAAUGAACGAGGAAAAAUGCCAUGAGCUUAUAAGGAAAUUUUCGCUGCACCUAGCCCAUGACACGUUUAUUCACAGACAUGGUUGGCCAGAAAUGAAAGCAGGCACAAUUAAUCUACUAAACUAAUUGAACCAUGAUUAAAUACUUUCAGUAAACUGAAUUGAUGCUAGAUUUAAACACGAUUGACAACUAAUUCAUACAUAUGAAAAUCUGAGAUAGAAUAUACAUUAGAGUGAUGCUUUAAGCUAGUUACAUAAUCAAAUGAACUGAUAGUUUUCUACAAUGGCCACAUCUCGUGAUCCUUUUGGCUUGUUAGAGCUUUGUGACAAAAUAGCUACAAAUCUAUCCUCACUUGUUAAAUUCAAACACUAUGCUGAGCAAAUUGAAAGAAAGCAUGAAACCAGAUUCCUGCAUCACUUCACAAUUAAGUGUACAUAAUGAGGCUCGCACACCAUUCAGGAAGAAAGAAAAGAAAAAAAGAAGACAGAAUGACAUUCAAACAGAUGCUAAAUCACCUAUUGACAUUCAACAAACCACUCACAUGAUCUUAACAUUCCAACAAUUACACAUAUUAACAAAGAUGAAAACUACAAUAGAUUUAGACUUUAAACAUGCUGAAACUACUAAAACAUUGCAAGAGUAUAGCAUAACCAACCCAACUUCAUUUAGAAUUCAAGUAGAAGCUAACAAGGUGGAAAACGCACCUACUAGCAGUGAAACAGAGAAACACGGAGCAAUCUGAACUUCAAAGCUACAGCUCAAACCAGCAGAAUGAAUACAACAGCAAAAAUAAUGAGUUUUUCAACUCAAACAGCUAUGGAAACCAAGAUAUAUGCAAUAACAGAGUAGGAAUAAAACACAACUUUGAAUCUUCUUUUUGUUUUUGGGUUUUUUCUGUAUUUAGAUGGAAUUUUCAUAAUGUUUUCUUUGAGGGAAAUCAGUGAGAAUUGAGGAUUGAGGAUUGAGUGAAUAUAUGUGUGAUUUCUGCAGAGAAUUAGUCUAUGUGAGUGAGGGAAUUGAGGUAUCUUAUAUAGGGAGUGUACUAUAUGAGAGAAUGAGAGAGAGUGUAUAGGGGAAUCUGUCAGCCUCCCUAAAAAAUAGGAAAAGAGCAUCUUUUCUAAACAGAAAUGGACAGCUGUCCAAUUCAAAUGAUUCCUUCCUAUUUCUCCACCCCACUAACUUCUGAAUUUACCCUUUUUACCCCAAUUCUGACAUAAUUUUCCUUGUCUUAUUGCAUUUUAAUCCUUGCCUAGAAGCUUCCUACAUAACUACCUAAGAUUCCCUAUUUUUCAGAUUCCCUUAGCCCCGUCAAGUUUCUAACAACUACAAAUAAAAUACACCAAAGAAACAAGAGAUAAAAAACAGACAAACAAUAUGCUGAAACUAAAUUAAUGACCUGCUUCAAUAUCCAACUAAUUCUGGACCAAUUAACCUAAAUUUAUGCAAUUAAACUAAUUUCAUGUAAUUGGACUACUGAUUAUACAAUUAAUUGUUUAAAUCUAAGGAUGCAAACAAGUAAUUACCAAACCGGAUGCAAGAGUACAAUUAAUCCAUGAACUAAGCUAUUCUAGCAAAAACUAAAUUAAACAAGCAAAACAAUUUCAAUUAGAUGCUGAUUAAUAGACAAGACAGUGAGUAUAUGAUAGAACGAGAUGUUGGUAUACCGAUUGGAACACACACUGGAGGAGGAAAUGGCCAAACAACGAGGUUCGAACGGAUUCUGGUGGUUUCGAAAUGAAUCGAAACUAACGUAUAUCGAUUGCUCUUGUCAAGAGUAGUCGAUUCACGUAAGUUUCAAGCCAAAACGACUAGCAAAUCAUUGAGAGUCAGAGAUGGGACGAACUCAGCUUUUUCUGGAAAUCAAGAUCUAAUAUUGGGCGAGUUCUAGUGGGUUUCGAAGGGCGAGGUUAGGAUAUUUGGAAAGAGGGGGAAAUAGAGGUUGUCUGGUGUUAGUUUGGUGGUGUUUGGAGUGGUGCCGCCGGUCAGGGAUAGAUUUGGUGACUGAGGGCCGCUAGGGUUUGAGAGAGAGUGAGGAAUUAAAAAUUGUCUCUAGGGUUUGGGGUGUCUGUUCGGACAGUUAAAAGGGGAAAGGGGAUUAGUUCAGAGCCGUUGGAUAAUAGGAAAUCGACGGCUCAGAUCGAUCCAGUGCAAAACGGGGUCGUUUGGGGUGUUUAGAAGGAGCAGGUUGGAUAAUGGGGAUUGGGCUGGGCGAAUUUGGAGCAAAAACUGGGCUGCUGGUCGCUGGCCCAAUUUGAAGACAAGGCAAAUAACCCCUUUCUUUCCUUUCUUUAAAUUUUCAAAAAUAACCAAUUUAUUUAACACUCCUAAUUCUAAUUAAUUUUGCA
This 2551-nucleotide long non-coding RNA is filed under the name Nicotiana tabacum (common tobacco). RNAcentral describes it as "long non-coding RNA (NTAB_LNC002731)". Lineage: Eukaryota; Viridiplantae; Streptophyta; Magnoliopsida; Solanales; Solanaceae. The record is from RNAcentral.